Molecule: long non-coding RNA, 1551 nt
Organism: Pyrus x bretschneideri (Chinese white pear)
Lineage: Eukaryota; Viridiplantae; Streptophyta; Magnoliopsida; Rosales; Rosaceae
Exons: 2
Source: RefSeq, a predicted model, not a curated record
AGAACUAGAGCAUUCAUCCACGGACGUUUGCGUUUAUGUGGAUGUUGAUACUUACCUUGUGUUCUCAGUUUUCUCAAAUCUUUUGUUUUGGACUUGAAUUCGUUUAAGCGAGAGGCUAGUAAAAAAAUAAUUGAAACCCAUAAUUCAUCCACGGACGUUUGCAACUUUUUGUUUCCUUGUUAUGAUGUUGCAAACUACGCAAAUUGAUUGUCCUUGAAUUUGAAAUUGGGUAACCUUAAAAAUUCGUCCAAUUUCAAUAUCAUGCGUCUCUCAAUUUUAUAUACCAGUCUGUCAAAUUGGUCAUUAAGUGAUAAAAUGUAAAGUGCAGAACUUAUAUUUUGCUCACUAGGAGUCCAAAUUUAUGCCAUUGGUUAGAACAAAUUAAAAGAAAGUAAUUUAAUUAUUAAUAAUGUAUAAAUUAGAAAUCAUUUGCAAUAUCAUAUUUUAUUUAAAAUUAAUAACAAAAACAAAAAAAAAAACGAAGAGUUUUUAUCAUAAAUGGUGCUUGAAAUUGACCCCCUUAAUUAUGAUGGUUUCUGAAAUUGAAAAUCAAUCAAUAUAAUCACUGAAUAUUAGUCCCGCAAAUUAAUGUCAUCUUUCUGUCACUAUUUCAUCCAACUCCACACUAAAAAGGAACACAUGACCACUUUUUCGUGCUAAAAUGAAAAAAAAAAAAAAAAAAACUAACCAACUAAACCUUCCCUUUCCUCCCUUACCACAUUUUCACGUGCCCCCACCUAAUCCCACUUUUCCUCCCUCUUCUUCGAAUGCUAGUCUGCUUUAAGACAGGUUUGAAGUCGAAGGGAAAACAUUGAAGUGGAAGGUACAAGGGGGUCCAAGAAUUCAUAAGAUUAUUGACAAGCUAAAAGAGUAUAGUGGGGUAUUGCAUUGCGACUCUUGUUGGGAAUAUGAAGUACCGAGUUAGAACAAUGAGUGGAAGGGAGUUCGCUGUGGACUUAGCUGCAAAUAGAUGCUUUUGCAAAAAAAAGUAAAAAUAAGAAAGGGGUAUGUGUGGAAUCCCAUGUGCACAUGCAAUGACUUGUAUUCUCAGAAAGCAACAAGACCAAAAAAGGUAUUUGAAUGAUUGCUACAAGCAAGCAACAUAUAUAUCCAAGGGUCCUGUCAGAAACCCAAUGCCUACUCCUAUCAGCUGCAGGAUCAUGUGAUCCAACCCACUCCAGUUGAUCCUCCAAUGUACAAGAAGCAAAUUGGAAGACCCAAGAAAAAAAGGGUUAAGGAGCCUGGUAAAGUCCUCCCUCCAGUGGCAAGUAAUGAAAGGACAAAGCUUAGUGGAUGAGUAAACACCCCCAUUUACUUGCACCAGAUGUGGACAAAAGGGCCUAGUCAACCAAAAGCGAUGAAGCCGAAAAGGAAAGAGCAAGCAACAAGUACUUCACAAUCCACUAGUCAACCAAAGCAGAAAAAAGUUCGUUUAUUAUCUGUUUUAUUGUGCAAGUAACAAUAGUUGCAAACUUCACUAUGGGAACUACUGAUGUCACCUAUUUUUCACAUACAAUUUGGAAUUAGAUAAGAGAUUUUUUUUUUUUUUUU